CGGGUUGCUGCAGCAGUGGGGAAUAUUGCACAAUGGGCGCAAGCCUGAUGCAGCCAUGCCGCGUGUAUGAAGAAGGCCUUCGGGUUGUAAAGUACUUUCAGCGGGGAGGAAGGGAGUAAAGUUAAUACCUUUGCUCAUUGACGUUACCCGCAGAAGAAGCACCGGCUAACUCCGUGCCAGCAGCCGCGGUAAUACGGAGGGUGUAAGCGUUAAUCGGAAUUACUGGGCGUAAAGCGCACGCAGGCGGUUUGUUAAGUCAGAUGUGAAAUCCCCGGGCUCAACCUGGGAACUGCAUCUGAUACUGGCAAGCUUGAGUCUCGUAGAGGGGGGUAGAAUUCCAGGUGUAGCGGUGAAAUGCGUAGAGAUCUGGAGGAAUACCGGUGGCGAAGGCGGCCCCCUGGACGAAGACUGACGCUCAGGUGCGAAAGCGUGGGGAGCAAACAGGAUUAGAUACCCCUGUAGUC
Molecule: ribosomal RNA, 464 nt
Filed under: uncultured bacterium
Lineage: Bacteria
Description: partial 16S ribosomal RNA
Rfam family: Bacterial small subunit ribosomal RNA
Source: RNAcentral